This 570-nucleotide ribosomal RNA is filed under the name Patescibacteria group bacterium. RNAcentral's name for it is "partial 23S ribosomal RNA". It matches the Rfam family "Bacterial large subunit ribosomal RNA", at positions 1978 to 2632 of the family's 2925-position model. The record is from RNAcentral.
GAGUUCAGACCCGCACGAAAGGUUGAACGACUUAGCGACUGUCUUGAGGAUAGACCCGGCGAAAUUGCAAUGGCUGUGAAGAUGCGGCCUUCCCAUACUUGGACAAAAAGACCCCGUGGAGCUUUACUGUAGCUUGGCCCUGAUUUAAAUUUAAAAUUGUGUAGCGUAGGAGGGAGCUUCGGCAACAAUGAAACACCUCUCUUUUUUAACUUUAGGUCUCACCUUAACCCUUAUAAAAACAGGGUUUGGGACAAGGUCUGGCGGGCAGUUUAACUGGGGCGGUUCCCUCCAAAAGAGUAACGGAGGGGUACUAAGGUACACUUAAGCCGUAAGGAAAUCGGCUGUCAAGCGUAAAGGUAUAGAGUGUGCUUAAUAGCGAGACUUACAAGUCGAGCUAAUACGAAAGUAGGUCUUAAUGAUCCCCUGAUGGUUCGUGGGAGCGUCAGGGCUUAACGGAUAAAAGCUACCCCGGGGAUACAAAUGUGUCCUGUCCCGAUAUAUAAUGAAAUCGGGACGAUAAUGCGGCUAAUAACGGUGGAAUCUAUCAAUUGAUGGUUUAGGUCUUACCAA